RNAcentral lists this ribosomal RNA (800 nucleotides) under Corallococcus coralloides. RNAcentral describes it as "bacterial SSU rRNA". It matches the Rfam family "Bacterial small subunit ribosomal RNA", at positions 76 to 854 of the family's 1533-position model. The record is from RNAcentral. Lineage: Bacteria; Pseudomonadati; Myxococcota; Myxococcia; Myxococcales; Myxococcaceae.
GGGGCAACCCUUAGUAGAGCGGCGCACGGGUGCGUAACACGUGGAUAAUCUGCCUGGAUGCCUGGGAUAACCAGUCGAAAGAUUGGCUAAUACCGGAUAAGCCCACGGUUUCUUCGGAGACUGAGGGAAAAGGUGGCCUCUGUAUACAAGCUAUCACAACCAGAUGAGUCCGCGGCCCAUCAGCUAGUUGGCGGGGUAAUGGCCCACCAAGGCGACGACGGGUAGCUGGUCUGAGAGGACGAUCAGCCACACUGGAACUGAGACACGGUCCAGACUCCUACGGGAGGCAGCAGUGGGGAAUUUUGCGCAAUGGGCGAAAGCCUGACGCAGCAACGCCGCGUGUGUGAUGAAGGUCUUUGGAUUGUAAAGCACUUUCGACCGGGACGAAACCGUAAAGCCUAAUACGCUUUGCCUUGACGGUACCGGGAGAAGAAGCACCGGCUAACUCUGUGCCAGCAGCCGCGGUAAUACAGAGGGUGCAAGCGUUGUUCGGAAUUAUUGGGCGUAAAGCGCGUGUAGGCGGCUUUGCAAGUCGGGUGUGAAAGCCCUCAGCUCAACUGAGGAAGUGCGCCCGAAACUGCAGAGCUUGAGUGCCGGAGAGGGUGGCGGAAUUCCCCAAGUAGAGGUGAAAUUCGUAGAUAUGGGGAGGAACACCGGUGGCGAAGGCGGCCACCUGGACGGUAACUGACGCUGAGACGCGAAAGCGUGGGUAGCAAACAGGAUUAGAUACCCUGGUAGUCCACGCCGUAAACGAUGAGAACUAGGUGUCGUGGGAGUUGACCCCCGCGGUGCCGUAGCUA